Molecule: ribosomal RNA, 468 nt
Filed under: uncultured bacterium
Lineage: Bacteria
Description: partial 16S ribosomal RNA
Rfam family: Bacterial small subunit ribosomal RNA
Source: RNAcentral
GACGAACGCUGGCGGCGUGCUUAACACAUGCAAGUCGAACGGAAAGGCCCUGCUUUUGUGGGGUGCUCGGGUGGCGAACGGGUGAGUAACACGAGAGUAACCUGACCUUGACUUUGGGAUAACUUCAGGAAACGAGGGCUAAUACCAGACAGGAGCUCCUGCUGCUGGGUGGGGGUUGGAAAGUGUCGGCGGUUGGGGAUGGACUCGCGGCUUAUCAGCUUGCUGGUGGGGUAGUGGCUUAGCAAGGCUUUGACGGGUAGCCGGCCUGAGAGGGUGACCGGCCACAUUGGGACUGAGAUGCGGCCCAGACUCCUACGGGAGGCAGCAGUGGGGAAUAGUGUACUAUAGGCGGAAGCCUGAUGCAGCAACGCCGCGUGCGGUGUGACGGCCUUCGGGUUGUAAAGCGCUUCCGCCUGUUACGAGGCGUGAGUGACGGUAAUGGGUAAAGAAGCACCGGCUAACUACGUG